AUUGAACGCUGGCGGCAUGCCUUACACAUGCAAGUCGAACGGCAGCACGGGAGCAAUCCUGGUGGCGAGUGGCGAACGGGUGAGUAAAGUAUCGGAACGUGCCCAGUCGUGGGGGAUAACGUAGCGAAAGUUACGCUAAUACCGCAUACGAUCUAUGGAUGAAAGCGGGGGAUCGUAAGACAUCGCGCGAUGGGAGCGGCCGAUGUCAGAUUAGGUAGUUGGUGGGGUAAAGGCUCACCAAGCCGACGAUCUGUAGCUGGUCUGAGAGGACGACCAGCCACACUGGGACUGAGACACGGCCCAGACUCCUACGGGAGGCAGCAGUGGGGAAUUUUGGACAAUGGGCGAAAGCCUGAUCCAGCCAUGCCGCGUGCAGGAUGAAGGCCUUCGGGUUGUAAACUGCUUUUGUACGGAACGAAAAGGUUUGGCCUAAUAAGCUGAGCUCAUGACGGUACCGUAAGAAUAAGCACCGGCUAACUACGUGCCAGCAGCCGCAGUAA
This 500-nucleotide ribosomal RNA is filed under the name uncultured bacterium. Its description in RNAcentral is "partial 16S ribosomal RNA". It matches the Rfam family "Bacterial small subunit ribosomal RNA", at positions 30 to 523 of the family's 1533-position model. The record is from RNAcentral.